AAAAAAAUAAAAAAAUGGCGAAUCUCAGCAAAAGCAAAGGAACACCCCCAAUUUGAAGAGUGAAAUGGCAGCCCCUUCUUUCACUGUAUUGAUCUUUUCAUCUCAUUUGUGAGAGUCUAGGAUAAAGUCCUUUUGGGGAAGAGAACAACAACCAACAACGAGAUUCCAGGAGCUAAAACCCAUCCUUCACCCAACCCAUGAAUUUUUUUAUUUUACAACAAUGGAUCAGUGCAGGGCCAAUAAUUGUCUGUUUUAACUCUUAACACCAGCGACCCUUUGCUGGAAAUCAAAUUACCUAUCACGCUUCGGUAGAUAAUGGCGUGUUCAGUUGUUGGGCUCCAUUAUUCUUUUGCUCUCCAAAUUCUGCUUUUGAAUCCUUCAUAAAUAAGUUUUCUACUUUAAGGGACUGUGGACUGCUGCUGGAUCUUUGUUGCAGAGUCUGCCAACCUCUUUUUUUAGCUCAAUAAGAAUUUUGGUUUGAUUUAAGGUAACAUCCAAGCUUUCUGUUACGGUAUUACAAUAUUUUAGAUUUUAAUGUCUUUUGUUAUUGUUUUUAACGCCAUUUUGUUGAC
Molecule: long non-coding RNA, 572 nt
Filed under: Nicotiana benthamiana
Lineage: Eukaryota; Viridiplantae; Streptophyta; Magnoliopsida; Solanales; Solanaceae
Description: long non-coding RNA (NBEN_LNC024648)
Source: RNAcentral